This 333-nucleotide long non-coding RNA is filed under the name Homo sapiens (human). RNAcentral describes it as "non-protein coding lnc-ANKRD27-2:5". Lineage: Eukaryota; Metazoa; Chordata; Mammalia; Primates; Hominidae. The record is from RNAcentral.
GCAGGAUGGCACCUGACUUGAAGAUAGCACCUGACUUGAAGAUGGCACCUGACUAGCAUUUGGACUGGUUUGCAGGCUGAGCACAGGGUUGCUCCAGGUGGGCCCAAAUGCUGAAGAGCCUCAUGUUAGAGUUUUUCACCUCUGCGAUGGAACUGUGGUGGACUCCAGUAUCAUCAUUCCAGGGAGGCAUAGCCGCACCAACUGUGUUCCCAGGUUUCACAUGGAGAAGGGUUUUAGAAAGUGCAGAUAGCCUUGAAACCAUUGGUUUCCUACCACUGUUUAUUUCAGCAUAACUUUUUUUGUGUGGAAUGCUAGCUCUGGAAGAGCAGAAAU